This 448-nucleotide ribosomal RNA is filed under the name uncultured bacterium. Its description in RNAcentral is "partial 16S ribosomal RNA". It matches the Rfam family "Bacterial small subunit ribosomal RNA", at positions 329 to 794 of the family's 1533-position model. The record is from RNAcentral.
UGCCAGACUCCUACGGGAGGCAGCAGUGGGGAAUAUUGCACAAUGGGGGAAACCCUGAUGCAGCGACGCCGCGUGAGCGAUGAAGUAUUUCGGUAUGUAAAGCUCUCUCAGCAGGGAAGAAGAUGACGGUACCUGACUAAGAAGCCCCGGCUAACUACGUGCCAGCAGCCGCGGUAAUACGUAGGGGGCAAGCGUUAUCCGGAUUUACUGGGUGUAAAGGGAGCGUAGACGGCGAUGCAAGCCAGAUGUGAAAGCCCGGGGCCCAACCCCGGGACUGCCCUUGGAACUGCGCGGCUGGAGUGCAGGAGGGGCAGGCGGAAUUCCUGGUGUAGCGGUGAAAUGCGUAGAUAUCAGGAGGAACACCGGUGGCGAAGGCGGCCUGCUGGACUGCGACUGACGUUGAGGCCCGAAAGCGUGGGGAGCAAACAGGAUUAGAUACCCCCGUACA